GUACUGCUGUUUUUAGUGGGUGAGGGUCCAGUGUUUCACAUUGUUGUUUAAGUAAUUGUGACUAGAUCCACACUCAUUAAAAACGGUAAUUC
Molecule: microRNA precursor, 92 nt
Organism: Drosophila busckii
Lineage: Eukaryota; Metazoa; Arthropoda; Insecta; Diptera; Drosophilidae
Source: Rfam